Molecule: ribosomal RNA, 412 nt
Filed under: uncultured bacterium
Lineage: Bacteria
Description: bacterial SSU rRNA
Rfam family: Bacterial small subunit ribosomal RNA
Source: RNAcentral
GACGAACGCUGGCGGCGUGCUUAACACAUGCAAGUCGAACGAGAGGAGAAGGAAGCUUGCUUCUUUCGAAUCUAGUGGCAAACGGGUGAGUAACACGUAAACAACCUGCCUUCAGGAUGGGGACAACAGACGGAAACGACUGCUAAUACCGAAUACGUUCCUUAGGUCGCAUGACUUUAGGAAGAAAGGGUGGCCUCUACUUGUAAGCUAUCGCCUGAAGAGGGGUUUGCGUCUGAUUAGGUAGUUGGUGAGGUAACGGCCCACCAAGCCGACGAUCAGUAGCCGGUCUGAGAGGAUGAACGGCCACACUGGAACUGAGACACGGUCCAGACUCCUACGGGAGGCAGCAGUGGGGAAUCUUCCGCAAUGGGCGAAAGCCUGACGGAGCAACGCCGCGUGAGUGAUGACGGCC